RNAcentral lists this ribosomal RNA (465 nucleotides) under uncultured bacterium. RNAcentral's name for it is "partial 16S ribosomal RNA". It matches the Rfam family "Bacterial small subunit ribosomal RNA", at positions 28 to 505 of the family's 1533-position model. The record is from RNAcentral.
GACGAACGCUGGCGGCGUGCUUAACACAUGCCAGUCGAACGAUGAAGCCCAGCUUGCUGGGUGGAAGAGUGGCGAACGGGUGAGUAACACGUGAGUAACCUGCCCUGAACUCUGGGAUAAGCACUGGAAACGGUGUCUAAUACUGGAUACGACCUAUCACCGCAUGGUGUGUGGGUGGAAAGAUUUAUCGGUUCUGGAUGGACUCGCGGCCUAUCAGCUAGAUGGUGAGGUAAUGGCUCACCAUGGCGACGACGGGUAGCCGGCCUGAGAGGGUGACCGGCCACACUGGGACUGAGACACGGCCCAGACUCCUACGGGAGGCAGCAGUGGGGAAUAUUGCACAAUGGGCGCAAGCCUGAUGCAGCAACGCCGCGUGAGGGAUGACGGCCUUCGGGUUGUAAACCUCUUUUAGUAGGGAAGAAGCGAAAGUGACGGUACCUGCAGAAAAAGCACCGGCUAACUACG